This is a long non-coding RNA of Dermacentor albipictus, 246 nucleotides long. RefSeq lists it as uncharacterized. NCBI's taxonomy places the organism in Eukaryota, Metazoa, Arthropoda, Arachnida, Ixodida, Ixodidae. The record is from RefSeq and is a predicted model, not a curated record.
AAAAGGCGCGGCGCGCUCGAACUGCGCUUCAGUGGGCUCGGCAACGCAACUGCGAUGGGCUUCGCUCUAACUCAUCGCCUUUUUGCCGUGCAGUCACUCUCGUCUGGAGUGGUGCCGCAGGACUGGAAGACAGCGAGAGACUGGAAUGAUCUGCCUGAAGAAGCAGCGGACCACUCCAGUGUGACUGCAUUCAGGACUGCCAUCGAACGCAUUUUCCUUUGAAGCAGCCCACCCCUCAUGUAAAAC